This 679-nucleotide long non-coding RNA is filed under the name Triticum aestivum (bread wheat). RNAcentral's name for it is "long non-coding RNA (TAES_LNC024611)". The record is from RNAcentral. Lineage: Eukaryota; Viridiplantae; Streptophyta; Magnoliopsida; Poales; Poaceae.
CUGAUUGAAGUUUCCUAUCUUGUAUGCAAUGAGCUUACGGAAUUGGGGAACGAUUUCCUGAAAAGAAAAUUGCCAGAUUCAAAUUUUAGUUUGAAAAGCAUUACAAAAAACAGUAACAUAACUGAAAGAAUGUAGUCUAUGUGUGCAAAAAAGGAAGACUUGCAAAAGAAUUAACAAAACAAUAAAAAUAAGUACAAAAGCAUGAUGACAUUUGAGACCAAAAAAAAAUUAACAGAACGUGGAAGAACUAUAUCAUGAAAUAAUUCUCUCUGGAACAGUGAUAGUAUUGCACACAAAAAGAAUAUGGAUAAUUUAAAAACAAAAAGGUAGCUGGUUAUAGAGAAAGAUGUAGUGCGUGUAGUAUUUACUUAUUCAAAGUCCUUCAUGUCUUUUCCGUUCCAACAAUCCAUAUAUAGUGUGCCAUAGAUAGCGCAGUCAUGCCUGUCCAUGUUUGCACAAAAAAACAGAUGAAUAAACAGAAAAUGUAAAUUAGAAAAGAUGUAGAAAAGGGUCAAAAAAAUAAUCUCACAAGUUAGGUUGUUUGGGAUAGUUUUCAGGAGAAAACUUCACGAAUUCUUCUAUAUUUUUGAAACUGCACUUGGAUGCCUUGAAUAGAGUGCUGAGGUUGGUAAUCUAUAAUAUAAAACAUGAAGAUAAGUACAAAGUUAGGUAGACCGAA